This 902-nucleotide ribosomal RNA is filed under the name uncultured bacterium. Its description in RNAcentral is "bacterial SSU rRNA". It matches the Rfam family "Bacterial small subunit ribosomal RNA", at positions 33 to 917 of the family's 1533-position model. The record is from RNAcentral.
ACGCUGGCGGCGUGCCUAAUACAUGCAAGUAGAACGCUGAAGAGAGGAGCUUGCUCUUCUUGAAUGAGUUGCGAACGGGUGAGUAACGCGUAAGUAACCUGCCUUGUAGCGGGGGAUAACUAUUGGAAACGAUAGCUAAUACCGCAUAACAAUGGGUGACACAUGUCAUUUAUUUGAAAGGGGCAAUUGCUCCACUACAAGAUGGACCUGCGUUGUAUUAGCUAGUAGGUGAGGUAACGGCUCACCUAGGCGACGAUACAUAGCCGACCUGAGAGGGUGAUCGGCCACACUGGGACUGAGACACGGCCCAGACUCCUACGGGAGGCAGCAGUAGGGAAUCUUCGGCAAUGGGGGCAACCCUGACCGAGCAACGCCGCGUGAGUGAAGAAGGUUUUCGGAUCGUAAAGCUCUGUUGUAAGUCAAGAAUGAGUGUGAGAGUGGAAAGUUCACACUGUGACGGUAGCUUACCAGAAAGGGACGGCUAACUACGUGCCAGCAGCCGCGGUAAUACGUAGGUCCCGAGCGUUGUCCGGAUUUAUUGGGCGUAAAGCGAGCGCAGGCGGUUUGAUAAGUCUGAAGUUAAAGGCUGUGGCUCAACCAUAGUUCGCUUUGGAAACUGUCAAACUUGAGUGCAGAAGGGGAGAGUGGAAUUCCAUGUGUAGCGGUGAAAUGCGUAGAUAUAUGGAGGAACACCGGUGGCGAAAGCGGCUCUCUGGUCUGUAACUGACGCUGAGGCUCGAAAGCGUGGGGAGCGAACAGGAUUAGAUACCCUGGUAGACCACGCCGUAAACGAUGAGUGCUAGGUGUUGGAUCCUUUCCGGGAUCCAGUGCCGCAGCUAACGCAUUAAGCACUCCGCCUGGGGAGUACGACCGCAAGGUUGAAACUCAAAGGAAUUGACGGG